UUCCCAAGGUCAAAAACCAGUGUGCGGCUUGGUCAGGAUUUGAAUCGGAGACUGUGAUGUCAAUGCCCAUAAUGCUUUUGUUGCACCCCGUCGCCCCGACCUAUUACCCAUCUACAUCUCCCCUCUGUAUGUUCCUGCCCCUGUGCCACACUGAUGGAGGUGCCAGGACAUCUUCCCCCUCUAACUUACCCCUUGAAAUCUGACUUCUCUGAACAUACAACUUUCAUGGUGUCUCCAGGAACAUUGUGUAGUCCUUCUAUUUGAGUUCACAUACCACUUUCUUUAUUCUUUGCAUAGGCUGCUUUGAACCCACAUGGAGUGACCUGCUGCUGUGCCUACAUCUUCAGAAAGCGUACAAGGAACCUGAGCUAGGCAGUGGAAAUCAAUAAUGGUGACACUGACGACUUCUAGUUUUGUGUUCUGGAGGCUGGGAAGUCCAAGAUCAAGUUUCCAGCAGAUUGGGUAUCUGGUAAGAACCUGCUUCCUGGUUCACAGAUGGCCACCUACUUCUUGUAUCCUCACAUGGAAAACGGCACUAACAUAUGAAGUGGCAUUGACUGGUGGGAGAUUGAAGAAGCAGUAACUCUUUUUGAAAGGAGGCAGAAAUGACCAUGAGGCCUGGUGGUCUCAGAGGUAUCAAGAGGAGGGUGGCAGCUGCUGGUGGACACAGUGGUACUGGUUCCAGGAGGAAGCAGCGAAAGCUACUGGGAGCAUCAGGACCAGCAGAAGUGGCCAUG
Long non-coding RNA from Rhinolophus ferrumequinum (greater horseshoe bat), 737 nucleotides. RefSeq lists it as uncharacterized. NCBI's taxonomy places the organism in Eukaryota, Metazoa, Chordata, Mammalia, Chiroptera, Rhinolophidae. The transcript is spliced from 3 exons. The record is from RefSeq and is a predicted model, not a curated record.